RNAcentral lists this ribosomal RNA (435 nucleotides) under Triticum aestivum (bread wheat). RNAcentral's name for it is "partial small subunit ribosomal RNA". The record is from RNAcentral. Lineage: Eukaryota; Viridiplantae; Streptophyta; Magnoliopsida; Poales; Poaceae.
AUGCAAGAGGAAUAUGAUGCUCUCCAGGCUAAUCACACAUGGACUCUUGUGCCUCGUCCUCGGGGUGCCAACAUCGUCACCGGUAAAUGGGUGUUUCGACAUAAACUCAAACCAGAUGGUUCCUUGGAUCGCUAUAAAGCUCGUUGGGUUGUUCGAGGAUUCACACAGUGUGCCGGCAUUGACUUUGGUGAUACUUUCAGUCCGGUCGUUAAACCUGCCACAGUUCGCACAGUUUUGCACCUUGCCGCUUCUCCACAUUGGCUGGUCCAUCAGUUGCAUGUAUCUAAUGCCUUUCUUCAUGGAGUUUUGCAUGAGCGUGUUUAUUGUGCUCAGCCGACGGGUUUCAUCGACGCCAACUAUCCUGAGCAUGUUUGCUUGCUGUCCAAGUCACUCUAUGGGUUGAAACAGGCUCCUCGCGCUUGGUACACGCGCAUC